Molecule: ribosomal RNA, 307 nt
Filed under: Salmonella enterica
Lineage: Bacteria; Pseudomonadati; Pseudomonadota; Gammaproteobacteria; Enterobacterales; Enterobacteriaceae
Also listed under: 3 other names
Description: bacterial SSU rRNA
Rfam family: Bacterial small subunit ribosomal RNA
Source: RNAcentral
AAAUUGAAGAGUUUGAUCAUGGCUCAGAUUGAACGCUGGCGGCAGGCCUAACACAUGCAAGUCGAACGGUAACAGGAAGCAGCUUGCUGCUUUGCUGACGAGUGGCGGACGGGUGAGUAAUGUCUGGGAAACUGCCUGAUGGAGGGGGAUAACUACUGGAAACGGUGGCUAAUACCGCAUAACGUCGCAAGACCAAAGAGGGGGACCUUCGGGCCUCUUGCCAUCAGAUGUGCCCAGAUGGGAUUAGCUUGUUGGUGAGGUAACGGCUCACCAAGGCGACGAUCCCUAGCUGGUCUGAGAGGAUGAC